GGGAGGUUAGCUCAGGGGUAGAGCAUCGCAUUCACACUGCGGGGGCCACUGGUUCGAAACCAGUACUUCCCACCA
RNAcentral lists this transfer RNA (75 nucleotides) under Massilia sp. Its description in RNAcentral is "tRNA-Val". It matches the Rfam family "tRNA". From Rfam's summary of the family: Transfer RNA (tRNA) molecules are approximately 80 nucleotides in length. Their secondary structure includes four short double-helical elements and three loops (D, anti-codon, and T loops). Lineage: Bacteria; Pseudomonadati; Pseudomonadota; Betaproteobacteria; Burkholderiales; Oxalobacteraceae. The record is from RNAcentral.